RNAcentral lists this ribosomal RNA (253 nucleotides) under uncultured bacterium. RNAcentral describes it as "partial 16S ribosomal RNA". It matches the Rfam family "Bacterial small subunit ribosomal RNA", at positions 524 to 776 of the family's 1533-position model. The record is from RNAcentral.
UACGUAGGGGGCAAGCGUUAUCCGGAUUUACUGGGUGUAAAGGGAGCGUAGACGGCCUUGCAAGUCUGGUGUGAAAGCCCGGGGCUCAACCCCGGGACUGCAUUGGAAACUGCAUGGCUGGAGUGCAGGAGAGGUAAGCGGAAUUCCUAGUGUAGCGGUGAAAUGCGUAGAUAUUAGGAGGAACACCAGUGGCGAAGGCGGCUUACUGGACUGUAACUGACGUUGAGGCUCGAAAGCGUAGGGAGCAAACAGG